AUAUUUUUGUGGGGGGACCAUAUUAGUUUAUCAAUUCAAUAUGGUUGAGAAGGUAGAACCUGACCCUUGGAACCUGUCGGUUAACACCGUUGUAGGGAAGCAAAGUGAUGUAUAUG
Molecule: non-coding RNA, 116 nt
Filed under: Ruminiclostridium hungatei
Lineage: Bacteria; Bacillati; Bacillota; Clostridia; Eubacteriales; Oscillospiraceae
Description: Clostridium hungatei TPP sequence
Rfam family: TPP riboswitch aptamer (THI element)
About the family: Vitamin B(1) in its active form thiamin pyrophosphate (TPP) is an essential coenzyme that is synthesised by coupling of pyrimidine and thiazole moieties in bacteria. The previously detected thiamin-regulatory element, thi box was extended, resulting in a new, highly conserved RNA secondary structure, the THI element, which is widely distributed in eubacteria and also occurs in some archaea.
Source: Rfam by way of RNAcentral